Molecule: ribosomal RNA, 465 nt
Filed under: uncultured bacterium
Lineage: Bacteria
Description: partial 16S ribosomal RNA
Rfam family: Bacterial small subunit ribosomal RNA
Source: RNAcentral
GGCGAACGCUGGCGGCGUGCUUAACACAUGCAAGUCGAACGGAAAGGCCCUGCUUGCAGGGUACUCGAGUGGCGAACGGGUGAGUAACACGUGGGUGAUCUGCCCUGCACUUCGGGAUAAGCUUGGGAAACUGGGUCUAAUACCGGAUAGGAGCCAUCUUUAGUGUGGUGGUUGGAAAGUUUUUUCGGUGUAGGAUGAGCUCGCGGCCUAUCAGCUUGUUGGUGGGGUAAUGGCCUACCAAGGCGGCGACGGGUAGCCGGCCUGAGAGGGUGUACGGCCACAUUGGGACUGAGAUACGGCCCAGACUCCUACGGGAGGCAGCAGUGGGGAAUAUUGCACAAUGGGCGCAAGCCUGAUGCAGCGACGCCGCGUGGGGGAUGAAGGCCUUCGGGUUGUAAACUCCUUUCGCUAGGGACGAAGCUUUGUGUGACGGUACCUAGAGAAGAAGCACCGGCUAACUACGUG